Molecule: ribosomal RNA, 219 nt
Filed under: uncultured bacterium
Lineage: Bacteria
Description: partial 16S ribosomal RNA
Rfam family: Bacterial small subunit ribosomal RNA
Source: RNAcentral
GGAAUAGCUUGCUAUUUUGCUGACGAGUGGCGGACGGGUGAGUAAUGCUUGGGAAUAUGCCCUUCUCUAAGGAAUAGCCUCUGGAAACGGAGAGUAAUACCUUAUACGCCCUUUGGGGGAAAGAUUUAUCGGAGAAGGAUUAGCCCGCGUUAGAUUAGGUAGUUGGUGGGGUAAUGGCCUACCAAGCCUACGAUCUAUAGCUGGUUUGAGAGGAUGAUC